RNAcentral lists this ribosomal RNA (495 nucleotides) under uncultured bacterium. RNAcentral describes it as "partial 16S ribosomal RNA". It matches the Rfam family "Bacterial small subunit ribosomal RNA", at positions 28 to 507 of the family's 1533-position model. The record is from RNAcentral.
GACGAACGCUGGCGGCGUGCCUAAUACAUGCAAGUAGAACGCUGAAGGAGGAGCUUGCUUCUCUGGAUGAGUUGCGAACGGGUGAGUAACGCGUAGGUAACCUGCCUGGUAGCGGGGGAUAACUAUUGGAAACGAUAGCUAAUACCGCAUAAGAGUAGAUGUUGCAUGACAUUUACUUAAAAGGUGCAAUUGCAUCACUACCAGAUGGACCUGCGUUGUAUUAGCUAGUUGGUGAGGUAACGGCUCACCAAGGCAACGAUACAUAGCCGACCUGAGAGGGUGAUCGGCCACACUGGGACGGAGACACGGCCCAGACUCCUACGGGAGGCAGCAGUAGGGAAUCUUCGGCAAUGGACGGAAGUCUGACCGAGCAACGCCGCGUGAGUGAAGAAGGGUUUCGGAUCGUAAAGCUCUGUUGUAAGAGAAGAACGAGUGUGAGAGUGGAAAGUUCACACUGUGACGGUAUCUUACCAGAAAGGGACGGCUAACUACGUG